GGAAUAUUGCGCAAUGGGCGGAAGCCUGACGCAGCGACGCCGCGUGAGGGAUGACGGCCUUCGGGUUGUAAACCUCUUUCAGCAGGGACGAAGCGAAAGUGACGGUACCUGCAGAAGAAGCACCGGCCAACUACGUGCCAGCAGCCGCGGUAAUACGUAGGGUGCAAGCGUUGUCCGGAAUUAUUGGGCGUAAAGAGCUCGUAGGCGGUUUGUCGCGUCGGCUGUGAAAGCCCGGAGCUCAACUCCGGGUCUGCAGUCGAUACGGGCAGACUUGAGUGUUGCAGGGGAGACUGGAAUUCCUGGUGUAGCGGUGAAAUGCGCAGAUAUCAGGAGGAACACCGGUGGCGAAGGCGGGUCUCUGGGCAACAACUGACGCUGAGGAGCGAAAGCGUGGGGAGCGAACA
RNAcentral lists this ribosomal RNA (404 nucleotides) under uncultured bacterium. RNAcentral's name for it is "bacterial SSU rRNA". It matches the Rfam family "Bacterial small subunit ribosomal RNA", at positions 358 to 774 of the family's 1533-position model. The record is from RNAcentral.